GACAGAGGGGGCAAGCGUUGCUCGGAAUCACUGGGCGUAAAGGGUGCGUAGGCGGGUCUUUAAGUCAGGGGUGAAAUCCUGGAGCUCAACUCCAGAACUGCCUUUGAUACUGAAGAUCUUGAGUUCGGGAGAGGUGAGUGGAACUGCGAGUGUAGAGGUGAGAUUCGUAGAUAUUCGCAAGAACACCAGUGGCGAAGGCGGCUCACUGGCCCGAUACUGACGCUGAGGCACGAAAGCGUGGGGAGCAAACAGG
RNAcentral lists this ribosomal RNA (253 nucleotides) under uncultured bacterium. RNAcentral describes it as "partial 16S ribosomal RNA". It matches the Rfam family "Bacterial small subunit ribosomal RNA", at positions 524 to 776 of the family's 1533-position model. The record is from RNAcentral.